GAUGAACGCUGGCGGCGUGCCUAAUACAUGCAAGUAGAACGCUGAAGGAGGAGCUUGCUCUUCUGGAUGAGUUGCGAACGGGUGAGUAACGCGUAGGUAACCUGCCUGGUAGCGGGGGAUAACUAUUGGAAACGAUAGCUAAUACCGCAUGACAACAGUUAUUGCAUGAUAACUGUUUAAAAGGGGCAACUGCUCCACUACCAGAUGGACCUGCGUUGUAUUAGCUAGUUGGUGAGGUAACGGCUCACCAAGGCGACGAUACAUAGCCGACCUGAGAGGGUGAUAGGACACACUGGGACUGAGACACGGCCCAGACUCCUACGGGAGGCAGCAGUAGGGAAUCUUCGGCAAUGGACGGAAGUCUGACCGAGAAACGCCGCGUGAGUGAAGAAGGUUUUCGGAUCGUAAAGCUCUGUUGUAAGAGAAGAACGAGUGUGAGAGUGGAAAGUUCACACUGUGACGGUAUCUUACCAGAAAGGGACGGCUAACUACGUG
RNAcentral lists this ribosomal RNA (495 nucleotides) under uncultured bacterium. RNAcentral's name for it is "partial 16S ribosomal RNA". It matches the Rfam family "Bacterial small subunit ribosomal RNA", at positions 28 to 507 of the family's 1533-position model. The record is from RNAcentral.